UCGUAAACAGAGGGAAGCGAAACCGCGAGGUAGAGCAAAUUCCCAAAAACGGUCUCAGUUCGGAUUGCAGGCUGCAACUCGCCUGUAUGAAGUCGGAAUUGCUAGUAAUCGCGGAUCAGCAUGCCGCGGUGAAUACGUUCCCGGGCCUUGUACACACCGCCCGUCACACCAUGAGAGCCGGGAACACCCGAAGUCCGUAGUCUAACCGCAAGGAGGACGCGGCCGAAGGUGGGUUUGGUAAUUGGGGUGAAGUCGUAACAAGGUAGC
This 267-nucleotide ribosomal RNA is filed under the name uncultured bacterium. RNAcentral's name for it is "partial 16S ribosomal RNA". It matches the Rfam family "Bacterial small subunit ribosomal RNA", at positions 1234 to 1500 of the family's 1533-position model. The record is from RNAcentral.